AAUCAACGCUGGCGGCGUGCCUCAGACAUGCAAGUCGAACGAUUAAAGCUCUCUUCGGAGAGUGUAUAGAGUGGCGCACGGGUGAGUAACACGUAAGUAAUCUACCUUUGAGUGGGGAAUAACAUCGGGAAACCGAUGCUAAUACCGCAUAAUGCAGCGGCAUCGCAAGAUGACAGUUGUUAAAGAUUUAUCGCUUGAAGAGGAGCUUGCGGCAGAUUAGCUAGUUGGUAAGGUAAUGGCUUACCAAGGCUACGAUCUGUAUCCGGUCUAAGAGGACGGUCGGACACACUGACACUGAAUAACGGGUCAGACUCCUACGGGAGGCAGCAGUCGGGAAUUUUGGGCAAUGGGGAAACCCUGACCCAGCAACGCCGCGUGAAGGAUGAAGUAUUUCGGUAAUGUAAACUU
Molecule: ribosomal RNA, 408 nt
Filed under: uncultured bacterium
Lineage: Bacteria
Description: bacterial SSU rRNA
Rfam family: Bacterial small subunit ribosomal RNA
Source: RNAcentral